Molecule: ribosomal RNA, 495 nt
Filed under: uncultured bacterium
Lineage: Bacteria
Description: partial 16S ribosomal RNA
Rfam family: Bacterial small subunit ribosomal RNA
Source: RNAcentral
GACGAACGCUGGCGGCGUGCCUAAUACAUGCAAGUAGAACGCUGAAGGAGGAGCUUGCUUCUCUGGAUGAGUUGCGAACGGGUGAGUAACGCGUAGGUAACCUGCCUGGUAGCGGGGGAUAACUAUUGGAAACGAUAGCUAAUACCGCAUAAGAGUAGAUGUUGCAUGACAUUUGCUUAAAAGGUGCAAUUGCAUCACUACCAGAUGGACCUGCCUUGUAUUAGCUAGUUGGUGAGGUAACGGCUCACCAAGGCGACGAUACAUAGGCGGCCUGGGAGGGGGAUCCGGCCCCAUGGGACUGGGACACGGCCCAGACCCCUACGGGGAGCAGCAGUAAGGGAACUUCGGCAAAUGAGGGAAGUCUGACCGGGGAACGCCGCGUGAGUGGAGAAGGGUCUCGGGUCCGAAAGCUCUGUUGUAAGGGAAGAACGAGUGUGGGAGGGAAAAGUUCACGCUGUGACGGUAUCUUACCAGAAAGCGACGGCUAACUACGUG